Long non-coding RNA from Branchiostoma floridae (Florida lancelet), 360 nucleotides. RefSeq lists it as uncharacterized. Lineage: Eukaryota; Metazoa; Chordata; Leptocardii; Amphioxiformes; Branchiostomatidae. The transcript has 3 exons. The record is from RefSeq and is a predicted model, not a curated record.
UUGUCUGCAAUAAUGGAGCCCAUCAUUGCAAACCGGUUGUUCUGGCUAUGUCUGGGCGAACUAAAAUAUUCACACUAAGGCCAAACCUAACAACCCAUCGGAACAAGGCCCCGCUUCAUAAAAUUACUGCUUGCGCCUGGUGUGUAGAUUAGCAGAACCGGAAACGGAAAUGACGAAUGACGACUCGUCCGUGUAUUAUGAUGAAUACCUAAACAGAACGACUCUGGACGAGUUCCAAUCCGAGGCGGACCUCGACUUUUCUGGCACCCUUCGGGAUCGUCGAGGCUCUAUAGGUCAAAGUAUGAUCUCCGAAGGUGGACGAAGCGGGAGGGAUGUGUACGGUAAGUCUGCAAGAAAACG